This is a non-coding RNA of Chlorocebus sabaeus (green monkey), 1346 nucleotides long. The record is from RefSeq and is a predicted model, not a curated record. NCBI's taxonomy places the organism in Eukaryota, Metazoa, Chordata, Mammalia, Primates, Cercopithecidae.
GCCAAAGAUGCGGUCAUGGUGCCCCAAACCCUCCUCCUGCUACUCUCGGGGGCCCUGGCCCUGACCGAGACCUGGGUGGGCUCCCACUCCUUGAGGUAUUUCAGCACCGCUGUCUCCCGGCCCGGCCGCGGGGAGCCCUGGUACCUCGAAGUCGGCUACGUGGACGACACGCGGUUCGUGCGGUUCGACAGCGACGCCGCGAGUCCGAGGAUGGAGCCGCGGGCGCCGUGGAUGGAGCAGGAAGGGCCGGAGUAUUGGGACCGGAACACACGGAACGCCAAGGUCAACGCAGAGACUUUCCGAGGGGACUUGAGGAACCUGCUCCGUUACUACAACCAGAGCGAGGCAGGUGAGUGACCCCGGCCUGGGGCGCGGAUCAGGACCUCUCCCCAUCCCCCACGGACGGCCCGAGUUCCCCGGAGUCUUUGGUUCCCGUCAGACCCCCCAAAGACACACGUGGCCCACCACCCCGUCUCUGACCAAGAGGCCACCCUGAGGUGCUGGGCCCUGGGCUUCUACCCUGCGGAGAUCACACUGACCUGGCAGCGGGAUGGGGAGGAGCAAACUCAGGACACCGAGCUUGUGGAGACCAGGCCAGCAGGGGAUGGAACCUUCCAGAAGUGGACAGCUAUGGUGGUGCCUUCUGGAGAAGAGCAGAGAUACACGUGCCAUGUGCAGCACAAGGGGUUGCUGGAGCCCCUCACCCUGAGAUGGGAGCCAUCUUCCCAAUCCACCAUCCCCAUUGUGGGCAUCAUUGCUGGCCUGGCUGUCCUAGGAGCUGUGGUCGCUGCUGUGAUGUGGAAGAGGAAGAGCUUAGGACAUUUUCUUCACACAAGGGGAAAAAGAGGGAGCUACUCUCAGGCUGCAUGUAGCAACAGUGCCCAGAGCUCUUGUGUGUCUCUCAUGGAUUCUAAAGGCUGAGAAAGCUGCCUUACAUGGGACUGAGAUGCAGGAUUUCUUCACAUCUCCCCUUUGUUACUUCAAGAGCCUCUGGCAUCUCUUUCUGCGAAGGCAUCUGAAUGUGCCUGCCUCCCUGUCAGCAUAAUGUGAGGAGGUGGAGAGACUGCUCACCCCCGUGUCCACCGUGACCCGUGUCCCCACGCUGACCUGUGUUCCCUCCCCAGUCAUCCUUCCUGUUCCAGAGAGUUGGGGCUGGAUGUCUCCACCUCUGUCUCAACUUCAUGGUGCACUGAGCUGCCACCUCUUACUUCCCUACUGAAAAUGAGAAUCUGAAUAGAAAUUUGUUUUCUCAAAUAUUUUCCAUGAGAGGUUGAUGGGUUAAUUAAAUAAGUCAAUUCCUAGAACUUGAGAGAGGAAAUAAAGACCUGAGAACCUUCCAGAAUCCG